RNAcentral lists this ribosomal RNA (917 nucleotides) under Flavobacterium johnsoniae. RNAcentral's name for it is "bacterial SSU rRNA". It matches the Rfam family "Bacterial small subunit ribosomal RNA", at positions 89 to 1003 of the family's 1533-position model. Lineage: Bacteria; Pseudomonadati; Bacteroidota; Flavobacteriia; Flavobacteriales; Flavobacteriaceae. The record is from RNAcentral.
UUGAGACCGGCGCACGGGUGCUUUUCAACGUAUGCAAUCCGCCUUCCACAGAGGGAUAGCCCAGAGAAAUUUGGAUGAAUACCUCAUAGCAUCAUGACCCGGCAUCGGGAUAUGAUUAAAGUCACAACGGUGGAAGAUGAGCAUGCGUCCCAUUAGCUAGUUGGUAAGGUAACGGCUUACCAAGGCUACGAUGGGUAGGGGUCCUGAGAGGGAGAUCCCCCACACUGGUACUGAGACACGGACCAGACUCCUACGGGAGGCAGCAGUGAGGAAUAUUGGUCAAUGGGCGCAAGCCUGAACCAGCCAUGCCGCGUGCAGGAUGACGGUCCUAUGGAUUGUAAACUGCUUUUGUACGGGAAGAAACCCUCCUACGUGUAGGAGCUUGACGGUACCGUAAGAAUAAGGAUCGGCUAACUCCGUGCCAGCAGCCGCGGUAAUACGGAGGAUCCAAGCGUUAUCCGGAAUCAUUGGGUUUAAAGGGUCUGUAGGCGGUCUUGUAAGUCAGUGGUGAAAGCCCAUCGCUCAACGGUGGAACGGCCAUUGAUACUGCUGGACUUGAAUUAUUGGGAAGCAACUAGAAUAUGUAGUGUAGCGGUGAAAUGCUUAGAGAUUACAUGGAAUACCAAUUGCGAAGGCAGGUUGCUACCAAUGGAUUGACGCUGAUGGACGAAAGCGUGGGUAGCGAACAGGAUUAGAUACCCUGGUAGUCCACGCCGUAAACGAUGGAUACUAGCUGUUGGGCGCAAGUUCAGUGGCUAAGCGAAAGUGAUAAGUAUCCCACCUGGGGAGUACGAACGCAAGGUUUGAAACUCAAAAGGAAUUGACGGGGGCCCGCACAGCGGUGGAGCAUGUGGGUUUAAUUCGAUGAUACGCGAGGAACCUUACCAAGGCUUAAAAUGCAGGACUGACCGGUUUGG